GAUGAACGCUGGCGGUGGGCCUAACACAUGCAAGUCGAACGGCAACACCCUAAGAGCUUGCUCUUACGGGUGGCGGGUGGCGGACGGGUGAGGUAUGCAUCGUAAUCUACUUUUUCGUGGGGGAUCACGUAGGGAAACUUACUCUAAUACCGCAUACGACCUACCGGUGAAGGCAUUGGAUCUUCGGACCUUUCGCGAUUGAAUUAGCCGAUGUCGGAUUAGCUAGUUGGAGGGGUAAAGGCCCACCAAGGCGACGAUCCGUAGCUGGUCUGAGAGGAUGAUAAGCCACACUGGAACUGAGACACGGUCCAGACGCCUAAGGGAGGCAGCAGUGGGGAAUAUUGGGCAAUGGGCGGAAGCCUGAUACAGCCAGACCGCGUGGGUGAAGAAGGCCUUCGGGUCGGAAAGCCCUGUUGUUGGGAAAGAGAAGCAGCAGGUUAAGACCAAGCGGUAGUGACGGUACCAAAAGAAGAAGCACCGGCUAACUACGUG
RNAcentral lists this ribosomal RNA (492 nucleotides) under uncultured bacterium. RNAcentral describes it as "partial 16S ribosomal RNA". It matches the Rfam family "Bacterial small subunit ribosomal RNA", at positions 28 to 507 of the family's 1533-position model. The record is from RNAcentral.